RNAcentral lists this ribosomal RNA (501 nucleotides) under uncultured bacterium. RNAcentral describes it as "partial 16S ribosomal RNA". It matches the Rfam family "Bacterial small subunit ribosomal RNA", at positions 29 to 523 of the family's 1533-position model. The record is from RNAcentral.
AUUGAACGCUGGCGGCAUGCCUUACACAUGCAAGUCGAACGGCAGCACGGGUGCUUGCACCUGGUGGCGAGUGGCGAACGGGUGAGUAAUACAUCGGAACGUACCUUAUCGUGGGGGACAACGCAGCGAAAGCUGUGCUAAUACCGCAUAAGCCCUGAGGGGGAAAGCGGGGGAUCGAAAGACCUCGCGCGAUUAGAGCGGCCGAUGCCUGAUUAGCUUGUUGGUGGGGUAAAAGCCCACCAAGGCGACGAUCAGUAGCUGGUCUGAGAGGACGAUCAGCCACACUGGGACUGAGACACGGCCCAGACUCCUACGGGAGGCAGCAGUGGGGAAUUUUGGACAAUGGGGGCAACCCUGAUCCAGCAAUGCCGCGUGAGUGAAGAAGGCCUUCGGGUUGUAAAGCUCUUUUGUCAGGGAAGAAACACCGGCUCUAACACAGUCCGGGAAUGACGGUACCUGAAGAAUAAGCACCGGCUAACUACGUGCCAGCCGCCGCAGUAA